UGUUGAGAUAAUGAUAAUAAGGGUAAAGGUGAGUGAUGAAGAGUUCAGGCAGAAGCUGUCAAUUCCGGCCCCAACUCCAAAAGGCUUAAUGAGGACGCAAACGCAGCACAUAGAUAUAUACAUGCUCCAAUCCUAAACGCCUCACCAAUCCUCUAAAAGGUAAUGAUGAAGUUGGGGUCCUUUCACUACCCUUCUGGCAUGUGUACUGCAAAACAACUUCCUGUAAAGCUAAGCAGGUAUGUCUGUACCAUGAUGGAACUCUGUGUACUAUCACGAAUCAUUGAAUGCUUUUACUUCAUGGAUAUUUGGGGUAACAUUAUUUCCCUCUCCUCCUUUCCUGUUCCCUUGUUAUCUAUAUUUCAAUCUUCAAUUUUUUCUUGAGUGAAGAAAAUCUCUUUCUGGCUAGUGGUUAAUAGCUAAUGACUAAUAGCUAAUGGCUAUCAUAUCAGAUUGGCUAAUGGCCAUCAUAUCAGAAGGGGCAUGAUUAGUUUUUAACUUUUUGUGUGAUGUAUUUAUGUUUGUGUUGCAUUGUCAGUGAUUUUGAUCCUUGUGUGCUGGAAAAUCUAGAUUAGUUGUACCUCAGAAUACAUGAAAUUGUUUGCUUAACUAGAUAUAUGGCACAUGUGCUACUUUCCUAUCUAUAAAUAGUAUGUACUUCA
Vigna angularis (adzuki bean) is the source of this 659-nucleotide long non-coding RNA. RefSeq lists it as uncharacterized. The record is from RefSeq and is a predicted model, not a curated record. The transcript is spliced from 2 exons. Lineage: Eukaryota; Viridiplantae; Streptophyta; Magnoliopsida; Fabales; Fabaceae.